RNAcentral lists this ribosomal RNA (752 nucleotides) under Clostridioides difficile. RNAcentral describes it as "bacterial LSU rRNA". It matches the Rfam family "Bacterial large subunit ribosomal RNA", at positions 2172 to 2925 of the family's 2925-position model. The record is from RNAcentral. Lineage: Bacteria; Bacillati; Bacillota; Clostridia; Peptostreptococcales; Peptostreptococcaceae.
CAGUUUUGGCGGAGCCAUCCUUGGGAUACCACCCUUGUAGUACUGGGACUCUAACCAUAGGCCAUGAAUCUGGUCUUGGGACACUGUCAGGUGGGCAGUUUGACUGGGGCGGUCGCCUCCCAAAAGGUAACGGAGGCGCUCAAAGGUUCUCUCAGUACGGUCGGAAAUCGUACGUAGAGUGUAAAGGCAAAAGAGAGCUUGAUUGCAAGACAUACAGGUCGAGCAAGGAUGAAAAUCGGACUUAGUGAUCCGGUGGUUCUGCGUGGAAGGGCCAUCGCUCAACGGAUAAAAGCUACCCUGGGGAUAACAGGCUUAUCUCCCCCAAGAGUCCACAUCGACGGGGAGGUUUGGCACCUCGAUGUCGGCUCAUCACAUCCUGGGGCUGUAGUAGGUCCCAAGGGUUGGGCUGUUCGCCCAUUAAAGUGGUACGCGAGCUGGGUUCAGAACGUCGUGAGACAGUUCGGUCCCUAUCCGUCGCAGGCGUAGGAAAUUUGAGAAGACCUGUCCUUAGUACGAGAGGACCGGGAUGGACGUACCUCUGGUGUACCAGUUGUUCUGCCAAGGGCAUGGCUGGGUAGCUAUGUACGGAAUGGAUAAGCGCUGAAAGCAUCUAAGCGCGAAGCCAACUUCAAGAUAAGAUUUCCCACCGCAAGGGUAAGACCCCAGAAAGACUAUCUGGUUGAUAGGUCGAAGGUGUAAGUGCAGCAAUGUAUUUAGCUUAUCGAUACUAAUAGGUCGAGGACUUGACCAAU